This 490-nucleotide ribosomal RNA is filed under the name uncultured bacterium. RNAcentral's name for it is "partial 16S ribosomal RNA". It matches the Rfam family "Bacterial small subunit ribosomal RNA", at positions 30 to 507 of the family's 1533-position model. The record is from RNAcentral.
AUUGAACGCUGGCGGCAGGCCUAACACAUGCAAGUCGAACGGUAACAGGGAUCAGCUUGCUGAUUCGCUGACGAGUGGCGGACGGGUGAGUAAUGUCUGGGAAACUGCCUGAUGGAGGGGGAUAACUACUGGAAACGGUAGCUAAUACCGCAUAACGUCGCAAGACCAAAGAGGGGGACCUUCGGGCUUCUUGCCAUCGGAUGUGCCCAGAUGGGAUUAGCUAGUAGGUGGGGUAACGGCUCACCUAGGCGACGAUCCCUAGCUGGUCUGAGAGGAUGACCAGCCACACUGGAACUGAGACACGGUCCAGACUCCUACGGGAGGCAGCAGUGGGGAAUAUUGCACAAUGGGCGCAAGCCUGAUGCAGCCAUGCCGCGUGUAUGAAGAAGGCCUUCGGGUUGUAAAGUACUUUCAGCGGGGAGGAAGGGAGUAAAGUUAAUACCUUUGCUCAUUGACGUUACCCGCAGAAGAAGCACCGGCUAACUCCGUG